Pelobates cultripes (western spadefoot toad) is the source of this 746-nucleotide non-coding RNA. The record is from the annotation of a GenBank genome assembly. Lineage: Eukaryota; Metazoa; Chordata; Amphibia; Anura; Pelobatidae.
CCGGGAUAUCGGGAGGGGGUACCACUGGAGAAGGGGUUGGAGGGGUGGGAACGGGGGGCUGGGUCAGGGCGGUAAGGGCAGAGAUUAGGGACGGCAAAUCAGCCGAGGGGGGAGGAGGCAACGAGGUAGAGGGGGCCGGGACUUCGGGAGGAGGAGGUAACACUGGAGAAGGGGUUGGAGGAGUGGUAACGGGGGGUUGGGUCAGGGCGGUGAGGGCAGAGAUUAGGGACGGCAAAUCGGCCGAGGGAGGAGGAGGCAACGAGGUAGAGGGGGCCGGGACUUCGGGAGGAGGAGGUAACACUGGAGAAGGGGUUGGAGGAGUGGUAACGGGGGGUUGGGUCAGGGCGGUGAGGGCAGAGAUUAGGGACGGCAAAUCGGCCGAGGGAGGAGGAGGCAACGAGGUAGAGGGGGCCGGGACUUCGGGAGGAGGAGGUAACACUGGAGAAGGGGUUGGAGGGGUGGGAACGGGGGGCUGGGUCAGGGCAGUGAGGGCAGAGAUUAGGGAUGGCAAAUCAGUCGGGAGGGGACAACGAGGUAGAAGGGAGGUCCGGAGGCAUAAGGGAAGCGGGAUCAGCGGGAGGACAAGGGUCUGGAGGAUCUGGGGCGGUGGGGUGAGUAAGGUCGAGAGGGCAGAGAGCGGGGCAGCGGAUGGAGACGGGUGAGUGGGUAACACUGGGGAGGGGUCAGUCGAGGUGGAGAGGGGACGAGAGGCAAGCAUAGGUAAAGGUGGCGGGGGACAGGGAGGC